UUUCCUGCAAAUCAGCUGCGCGGUUUCUGCUCAAACGAAAAAAAAAAGAUAAAAAAAUAUUUUUAAAACCCAUAUUUUGAAUUUGUAGGUUGAUUUACAGAACGAUGAAAAGCUUUACAGUUUUAGUUAUCAUUGUAGCGGUUUUAGAGUCUGUAACAUUAGCCAGAGAAACAACACCCAUGUAUGUUGUGAGGCGCUUUUUACCCUGGAGACCUUAUGAAGAAGCAAACCUGAUUGACCCCGAAGACCUUUCAAUACAAGAACGAGGAAACAACUUGCGUGGUAAGAGGGUAUCCAGUUUAAGAGGCAAAAGAAUCAGCAACUUGAGGGGGAAAAGGAUGAGCAAUUUACGUGGCAAGCGAAUGGAGGAAAGGAAUACUCUAUUCGAGACGAUUCAAAACACGAUUGAAAUAUAAAUUCAUGGAGAAUUACACCCUUCCGUAUGUGAAAACUUUCAACUCGGAAUGAACAGGAAAUUUAUUUCAAUUUUUGUUCAGCUGAAAAAUUUGAUCAUCCUCAGUCAGAAAAACAUGAGAAGCUUGUUUAAUUAUUUUUUCAAUUACACUCAUGAAUUGAAUAUUACUUUAA
Long non-coding RNA from Symsagittifera roscoffensis, 588 nucleotides. RefSeq lists it as uncharacterized. NCBI's taxonomy places the organism in Eukaryota, Metazoa, Xenacoelomorpha, Acoela, Convolutidae. The transcript is spliced from 3 exons. The record is from RefSeq and is a predicted model, not a curated record.